Molecule: ribosomal RNA, 468 nt
Filed under: uncultured bacterium
Lineage: Bacteria
Description: partial 16S ribosomal RNA
Rfam family: Bacterial small subunit ribosomal RNA
Source: RNAcentral
GACGAACGCUGGCGGCGUGCUUAACACAUGCAAGUCGAACGGAAAGGCCCUGCUUUUGUGGGGUGCUCGAGUGGCGAACGGGUGAGUAACACGUGAGUAACCUGCCCUUGACUUUGGGAUAACUUCAGAAAACUGGGGCUAAUACCGGAUAGGAGCUCCUGCUGCAUGGUGGGGGUUGGAAAGUUUCGGCGGUUGGGGAUGGACUCGCGGCUUAUCAGCUUGUUGGUGGGGUAGUGGCUUACCAAGGCUUUGACGGGUAGCCGGCCUGAGAGGGUGACCGGCCACAUUGGGACUGAGAUACGGCCCAGACUCCUACGGGAGGCAGCAGUGGGGAAUAUUGCACAAUGGGCGGAAGCCUGAUGCAGCAACGCCGCGUGCGGGAUGACGGCCUUCGGGUUGUAAACCGCUUUCGCCUGUGACGAAGCGUGAGUGGCGGUAAUGGGUAAAGAAGCACCGGCUAACUACGUG